Molecule: long non-coding RNA, 2120 nt
Organism: Glycine soja
Lineage: Eukaryota; Viridiplantae; Streptophyta; Magnoliopsida; Fabales; Fabaceae
Exons: 3
Source: RefSeq, a predicted model, not a curated record
AUUUUUUUCUUCCUAGUUUACGAAGAUGUAACUACUCCAACAUUCACGUUUUUAUGCUUGAAAGUAGUUUACAUUUUUACAACUUCCACAAAUUACAUGUGCAUUUUCACUUCUCCUCUUUCUUCACCAACCCUAAAUGCACACCCCACAUCCUACAUCCCACACCCACUCCUAUACAGGGCACUCACCCUCGUCCCUCUACAAGCUGUUACGCCAUCCCACUGCACCAUUGUUGCAUUGUCCCUCUACUUGACACCGUUGUGUUGUCCCGUUGCUCACCGUUUCGUACCAUCUCAUUGUGACGCCGCACUGCUCGAACCACUUCGUUUAGUUGUCAAAGAAGGUGGUGGAUAUGAGCGAGUUGUGGAGCCUCGUGUGUCAAGGUGUACCUGAUGCUACUGGGAUAUGUUCUACACUGUGGAAGGUUAGGUUUCUUUUUUUUUAUUAUUCCUUUUUUCCCUACAUUUUAGUCAUUUUUUUUAUAUUUUUAGGUGAAUUAGAUUUAUUUAGGGAAAAUGGAGCAAGGAUUUUUGCACUAGGGAUGUGGAUUCCAAAUAUGCGAGUGGCUUAUUCCCAUUCCAUUCCAACCAAAUAGGUCGUGUGUUCAUAAGUCUAACUUUUGCUUGGAUAUCUUCUACCAAAUUGCGGGCUUUGGUCAACUGAAUUAGCCAAGAAACUAGCAAUCACAGUACAAUGAUAACGAUGUUGAAUCGCUCAAAAUAAACUAGGAUUCUAACAAUUCUGUAGUAUAGGAAUAACCAAGGUCAACUCAGAGACACAAUCCAAUUAGGUUUCAACUUCAAUUCACUUAUAAAUCAAAGUAAGGGAUUUCAUCGAGCAGUUUGCAAACAAUUAAAAUUCAAAAGCAGAAUUAAAAAAUUAAUAGGAUUAUGAAACAAAUUUAAGGAGCAUCAAUGCAAUUCAUCAAAUCCAAACAAUUUGAAUUAUCAUAGUUUUCUAAAGAUGAUGAUCCUAUUAUAAAGGUUCAGUCAAUCUAAUUAGAGGUAACUCAACCGAACAAACCCUUAAUUACAUUAAGAUCACAAAUCAAAUUGAAGUAUCAUCCAAUUAAUCUGUAAUGAGGAUUCAAAAUAAGAAAUUAAUCAAUUACCUAAUUCAUUUCCAAUCCUAGACACAUUCAUAACCAUACAUACAAAAAUAGAAUUAGAGAAGAGGAUGCAGAUUCAUAACAAAAUUUGAAAUUGUUAACCAAAACUCAAAUUCAUCACCGCUUGAACUCGAUCCUUGGAUUGAUUAGUUGCUUAACCUUCCAUGAUCAUCACCAAUGAAAGAACAACGAGAAUUGAAAAAGAAAAGGGAAGAACAAAGUAGAAGAGAUGAAGAAAUAUGAAGUGAGAGAGAGUGAUUGACUAUGAGACGAACAUAAAGUUACAAACUGAUCAUGUACUACCAGGAAUCAACAAAGUUACAAUUAUAUCAACUUCUCACGAGACAAACAUCUCCAUCAUCUUUUUCUUUUUUGUAAGUAAAGAAAAUAGAAAACUACCGCUAAUCAAUAAUCAUUAAAUUUUGUUCUCCAAAUAUAACAUAAAGGAUAAUCUAUUUCCAUUCCUAUAUACAAGAAACCAACAUUUAAUUUAAUUAUCAAAACCAAUAAAAGUAGUUAAAUUAAUUGAUUUUAAUACAUAAUUGACAAAAUUAUGUAUUAGGAGUUAUAAGAUUGGGUUGGUGGUUGAAGGAAGAAGAAAAGAGAAAGAUGUGGUGGGUUCAAAUCUCUAUCACUAAUAUUUUAACAAAAUUAACAACUAAUAUUUUCUCAUAAAAAAAUUGUGCAAUAAGUAAUAUACAUUUGAUAUAUCUUCUAAAGUUUAAUUUAAUUAUACAAACACAAUAGGUAUGAAACUUAAUUUUCAUGUCAUUAUUUCAAAGGUAUGAAACUUCAACCACUCUUCACAUCUCCUUCUUUUGCUUUAUUUUUCUAAUCAAUUCUUGAGUAUUAAUUAGUAUCUACAUGACAACCUCUUCAUAAUAUUUUUUUAGUAUAUUAGCAUUUGUACACACAAGAAACUAGAAAUCAAAGAUAGGUUAAAAAUAAUAAUAAAGAAGAGAUCAAAAUUUUUCUUGAAGUUAUCUUAAUAUUAUUUUAAUUUUUUGGUUAA